Long non-coding RNA from Nelumbo nucifera (sacred lotus), 3665 nucleotides. RefSeq lists it as uncharacterized. NCBI's taxonomy places the organism in Eukaryota, Viridiplantae, Streptophyta, Magnoliopsida, Proteales, Nelumbonaceae. The record is from RefSeq and is a predicted model, not a curated record.
UCCACGCCAUCAUCUUCUUCUACCUCCACUGUACCACAGCCUUGCUUUGACUUCCGACGCCAACCACACCUUUCUCCAACAGUCAUCCGCGAAGAUGUCCAGGCUUCUUGGGAUUUUUUCCAAUCUUCCACCUGCAACUUUAAUCUUUGCCGUUUGAAGGUUUUGCAUGCAAAAACCUUCCAAGACCCCACCACAAGCCACUGCUAUCUUAUGGAAUAUGUGCUCUUGCCAGAGGUUGAAGGGUAAACCCAGAAUCUUGAUAACUAUGGUCUUCUGCGAUAUAUUCAGUUCGUUACAGGAGGGCGACCAAUUUUCCACUGCAAUCUGGCCAAGUUUGGUUUCAAGGGUUCUGCUCACAGUCUAAAGUUCGGCCAUGUCAAGUAUUGCCUUAUUCUUUUCAAAUGGGAUGAGGGUGAUUUUCUCUUUUGGCUGAAGCGUCUCCAGUAAGAUUUGCAAUACUUCUUCCCAAUCCUUAACAUCUGCUUUCACUUUCACAACUUUCCUCUUAAACCAGUCCCCAUUCCUUCCAUCCCAUAUUAUUUUUGAACUCGUUAUCUGUCGAAAGUACUGUUAUAGGAGUAAUCUUUUUAGUUUGCUUUUGCUGGUUUGCUUUCCCAGUUUGGCUCUCACUCACCUCCCCAGAUUUUUGUUCUUUCCUCAUAGUUUGCUCUUAAGUAUUUGAGAACUCCCAUUUUUUCUGGUUGAAAUCAUCAAGUGCACCUGCGACCAUCUUCCACCCCUAUUUAGCUUGUCCCUCUAGAAGGCAUAUUAGUUGUUUUCUCCCUUUGCCACAGAGCAGACUCUAGGGGUCUCAUUGGAGGCUAGAGGGUUGGAAGGGAGGACAUCCCACUCACUCACUUACAGUUUGCUGAUGAUACGAUCCUGUUUUGUGAAUGAGGUGGUCUUUUGGUAUGGUGAGAGACAGUUUGGAAGCUUGAUUUUAAGUUUACAAUGACAUAGGAUCUGUUAUACCAAGUGAAGGGAUGCAGUUGAAUGAAGCCAAAGUUUUGGUGCUCAAUAAGUUGUUAACUUGGAAAGGUUCAACUCUUGUGGCUUACUUUAAAGAAAAAGAGCAAAUUGAUGUGUAUCACACACUGGUGCAUUCUUUGUAAGGCUAAUGGUGGAUUUCUCCGCCGGAUAUAGAAAGCUUGUUUGGUUCCUUUUUAGUCAGGUGGCCAAGGAAGAGGGGUCGGAUUCUAUGGAGAUGCACUCGAGUGGCUAUUUGCUAGACUAUAUGGGAAGAAAGGAAUAUGAGAAUAUUCUUGGAAAAAAGUGAGAAGCAACGAAGCUUUAAUUGAAGUUAUUACUAACAGAGUUGUGCAGUGGAUGAAUCCUCUGCAAAUCUUUGAGGUUGUUUCUACAGAUGCUUUACUUAGAAAUUGAAAGUAAGUGGCUGACUCAGCCCCCUCUAUGACUGAAGUCGGGCCUAUUCGGUCUCUCCAGCUGCAGGUCUUACUAAGUUGAAUUUUGACAGUAGUAGUGAAGGUAACCCAGGCCCGUCAGGUAUUUAUUGGAGGUGUUUUCAGAAAUGAAGGAAAAGUUGUUGCACUAUUCUCAGGUCCAAUUGGUACAGGCAGAUCUCUUAGGGAUGAGAUUAUCGCUGUUGUAGAAGGAACACAAAGGGCAAAAGAACUCAAUAUCAGUACACUGAUUGUUGAAAAAAGGAGGUUCAAUUGGCUCACUCAGAAUAUGGAAGUGAGUUUUCAGUGGGUGAAGAAAAGUGCUAACUCCUUUGCUGAUUGUACUUGAUAAACAAAGGGGGUAACUUGUUCUGGGCUGUACUGUAAACUUGUGUAUUUAUUGGGGAGGACUAGGAGAGUUUAUCCCUCCUUCCUCUCUUGUACCAUCUAAUUUGUUCUUAAUGAAAUUGUUUUGUUGUUGAUCAAAAAAAAAAAAAAACGAUACCAGAGUUCAGCUAAGAACAGAGAGUAAUGAUGAGGAAUUGCAACUUAUAGCAUUUUGUCAUUUUUAUACAUUUAUUCUUAGACCUGAAGCAACUUAUGUAGGGCUGUCAAUGGGUCAGGUCUACCCGAUAGAACCAAAGUGACCGAACCAAUUAUGUUGGUUCUGGUUCAGAGUUCUAUCCCGUUGGGUCGGCUCUGGUUCUUUAUUGUGUGUCCCGAUUAUUAUCGGUUUGGGACCGGUCUUAGCUGUCCCGAACCGAUUAAAUAUCAUAACAUCUAUGAUGUUAAUGGUAUUUUACGUAAUAACAAUUAUAGUAGAUGUCUAAAAUUGUCCAUCUAGUAGAAGUACUUUAAUGAAAUCUUAUGCACCCCUAAACCCUUUCGUUUUUCACUCUUUCUAUUAUUGACUACUAGUUCUAAACCCUAACUAUUCUCAUCUCAUCUGCCGCCCACUAAGGGAGACACCUACACCAAAACCAAAAACCAGUCAGAAAACUUUGAGAUGUUGCAGUUGUAGGCGAUAAGGCUCAAGACCAGAUCUCCUUGUUGGGAAGUGUAGUGAUGGCUAUGCAGAGAAUGCAAGAAUAGAAAGAACAGCAGCAGCAAGUAACCACUAACCAGUGAUUUUUCUUCUUGAACGGCAGCAGGAAAUGACCAUCUCAUCUGAGCUAUGGUUUUUUUCUUCUUGAAUCCCCACUAUAUUUUGUUUUAUAUCGGUUGUUUUUUCUUCUUGAAUGGCAGAAACAUGUUGCAGUAGCAGGAAGCACUUUGAGCUGUGUUUUCUUUCUCUAUGUGAUUCUAUUUUUAUUUUUUGUUUCUUUUGGUACAUGGGGAUGCUUGAUGGCCCAAUAAUAGAGGGUUAUCAUUGCCUCUUUGCCUUAGCUCCUAUUAACAACUCUGCCAAGUAUUUUCUACAUUCGAUUUGAUUCCAGCAGCCAUAAGGGCAGAUUCAAUUGCAGACUUGCAGCUUUACCUCUUAAUCUUUGAAGGAAAACCCUCUGAAUUGUUCUUAUCGGGCCAGACCCAAUUAUCCUGAUUAAUAAUCGGUUCAGUUCUAGGUCCCAAACUAUUGUUCCGAUAGGGCCUGGUUCAGGACCAGACAACCUAAUUUCUUGUUGGUUCGGAACGGUUUCAUCCUGUCCCGAACCAUUGACAGCCCUAAACAUCCUGAUUGCAAGAUAUUAAUUUUUAGUUUGAUCUGAAUUCAAUUUGGUUUAUUUUUAGCUUUCUUUAAUUUUUCUUUAUGAUAUUAAUUAGGGUCUGUAUGGUGGAUACAGAGAGUCAUGUCAAUGAACAAUUAAUUAUACCAGAGUUUUUCUUCAUUUUUAUAUAUUUUUUGUGGAGUUUCUAAUGUACUGCUUUUUUUAUAUUUCCUGGAUUUUUUAUGUUAAUUUCGAAUGUUUCAUUCAGUUUGGAUAGUUUAGAUUUGGUUUGUACUGGAUUCAGAUUGGAUUGGGUCCGGUCCAUUUGUAAAUGGACACAUGUUGGAUUGGAUUGGAUAGGACCAAAUCUGGUCCAAUUGACAGCCCUAAAUACAAUCAGUCACCAAACACCAAAACAAUAACAAACUUCACCAGAAGUACUGAUCAAAAACUCCUUGAUAUUACCAAGAAUAGAUAGCACUAAAAUAGAACGCAAUACUUCUUAGAAUGGUCUUCAUUUGAUUCUGGAAAUUAAUAUAUAUACAUGUGCAUGUGACAUACAUGUAUGUAUAGAUCAGUAUUUUAAAAGGCGUGUGCCUCCAGGCAAGGCGCUCCCAAA